GAGACUAUCAGGUAGAUAGGGCAGAGGUGGAAGCAUGGUAACAUGUGGAGCUGACUGUUACUAAUCGGUCGAAGGCUUGACCAA
This 84-nucleotide ribosomal RNA is filed under the name Agathobacter ruminis. RNAcentral describes it as "partial 23S ribosomal RNA". It matches the Rfam family "Bacterial large subunit ribosomal RNA", at positions 2841 to 2925 of the family's 2925-position model. Lineage: Bacteria; Bacillati; Bacillota; Clostridia; Lachnospirales; Lachnospiraceae. The record is from RNAcentral.